Long non-coding RNA from Gracilinanus agilis (Agile Gracile Mouse Opossum), 578 nucleotides. RefSeq lists it as uncharacterized. The record is from RefSeq and is a predicted model, not a curated record. The transcript has 3 exons. NCBI's taxonomy places the organism in Eukaryota, Metazoa, Chordata, Mammalia, Didelphimorphia, Didelphidae.
CCGAGGUCUCCAUCUCUGGCUACGACGACAACUGGUUUGUGGGCCGCGUCGAGGCCUCCCUGAGCUGCGAUGCCCAGAGCAACCCGGAGCCCACGGCCUACGAAUGGAGCACAUCCAUGGGCCCGCUCCCCCCAGCAGCUGUGGCCCAGGGACCCCGGCUCAUCAUUCGCACCAUUGAUGAGUCGGCCAACACCACCUUCAUCUGCAGCGUUGCCAAUGCCGUGGGUACCGGUCGGGCUGAGCAGACCAUCCGAGUCAGAGAGAAAUAGUGUCACCACACAUCCGCCAUGGUGCCAGAGCUGGGAUGGGAUUGGAACCCAGGACCUGUGACUACACGUCUACCCCUCCUUCCACUGCCUUGCCCUCUCCUGGCUUAGGGAACCUCAGGGAUUCCCUCUAUGUUUCCCCUGGCCCUGCCACAGGGAGAGCAUUAAAAAAUGUAACAACGGUCCAGCCCCAAGCCUACGUCUGUCCUUCCCAGGACCUCUGAGGCUUCCUCUGCCUCAGCAGCUUCUUCUGGCUGCUCCCCUCCAUUAGAGCCAGACCUGAGCUAAAGGGACCUGAGCACUGCUCGAGAG